This 498-nucleotide ribosomal RNA is filed under the name uncultured bacterium. RNAcentral describes it as "partial 16S ribosomal RNA". It matches the Rfam family "Bacterial small subunit ribosomal RNA", at positions 30 to 523 of the family's 1533-position model. The record is from RNAcentral.
AUUGAACGCUGGCGGCAUGCCUUACACAUGCAAGUCGAACGGUAACAGGUCUUCGGAUGCUGACGAGUGGCGAACGGGUGAGUAAUACAUCGGAACGUGCCUAGUAGUGGGGGAUAACUACUCGAAAGAGUGGCUAAUACCGCAUGAGAUCUACGGAUGAAAGCAGGGGAUCGCAAGACCUUGUGCUACUAGAGCGGCCGAUGGCAGAUUAGGUAGUUGGUGGGAUAAAAGCUUACCAAGCCGACGAUCUGUAGCUGGUCUGAGAGGACGAUCAGCCACACCGGGACUGAGACACGGCCCAGUCUCCUACGGGAGGCAGCAGUGGGGAAUUUUGGACAAUGGGCGCAAGCCUGAUCCAGCAAUGCUGCGUGCAGGAUGAAGGCCUUCGGGUUGUAAACUGCUUUUGUACGGAACGAAAAGCCCCGGGUUAAUACCCUGGGGUCAUGACGGUACCGUAAGAAUAAGCACCGGCUAACUACGUGCCAGCAGCCGCCGUAA